This is a long non-coding RNA of Numida meleagris (helmeted guineafowl), 548 nucleotides long. RefSeq lists it as uncharacterized. The transcript is spliced from 2 exons. The record is from RefSeq and is a predicted model, not a curated record. Lineage: Eukaryota; Metazoa; Chordata; Aves; Galliformes; Numididae.
CAAAGCAAUUUUAAGGGACAAAUCCCACCAUCAGAACCACAGAACAGCUGAGGUCACAAGGCAGCCCUGGAGAUGGCUUUGUUCAAACCAGGGUGGGCUAGAGCAGGUUGCCCAGCACCGUGUCCAGUGGGAUUUGGAUUACUUCCAAGGACAGAGAAUACACAACCAACAGUGGCAACCUGUUACAGUGCUCUUAUCAAACUUUCUCCAGAACAAUAAGACCUGACUCCCCUAUUAAGAAGCCAAACUUUAUCAUGCCAACUGUUAGAAGCUGUACCAUGGAUGUGCCCCUCAGCCUUGUAAGAAGUGCAAUCUGGAAGGCUUCUGAGCUGCUGAGUCCUCUCAUUCUUUGAAUUUGAGCCAACCUGCCUCUGUUUCAGUGUACUGGUGGACUUGAGAGGCCUCGAAGAAGACAACCUGCAUUGCACAGUUUCUACUAGGAAAAGACUUAGAGGCUGCAGAUUUACAAAAAGUUCACAGAGCAGUGACCCCGAGACAGCAGCUAUGCAGAAACUCUUUAGUCACAUAAAACUGACAUUUGUGUAAUA